Molecule: ribosomal RNA, 505 nt
Filed under: uncultured bacterium
Lineage: Bacteria
Description: bacterial SSU rRNA
Rfam family: Bacterial small subunit ribosomal RNA
Source: RNAcentral
GAUGAACGCUAGCGGCAGGCCUAACACAUGCAAGUCGAGGGGUAACAGAAGAGAGCUUGCUUUCUUGCUGACGACCGGCGCACGGGUGCGUAACGCGUAUGCAACCUACCCUGUACUGGAGGAUAGCCCGGAGAAAUUCGGAUUAAUACUCCAUAGUAUUGCAAUUUCGCAUGUUAUUGCAAUUAAAGGUUACGGUACAGGAUGGGCAUGCGUCCUAUUAGCUAGAUGGUAAGGUAACGGCUUACCAUGGCAACGAUAGGUAGGGGGCCUGAGAGGGUGAUCCCCCACACUGGUACUGAGACACGGACCAGACUCCUACGGGAGGCAGCAGUGAGGAAUAUUGGUCAAUGGAGGCAACUCUGAACCAGCCAUGCCGCGUGCAGGAAGAAUGUCCUAUGGAUUGUAAACUGCUUUUAUUUGGGAAUAAACUCCUCUACGUGUAGAGGCCUGAAGGUACCAAAUGAAUAAGCACCGGCUAACUCCGUGCCAGCCGCCGCAGUAACAC